UACACGAGCGGCGAACGGGUGAGUAACACGUGAGCAACCUGCCCCCGACUCCGGGAUAAGCGGUGGAAACGCCGUCUAAUACCGGAUACGACACACCGCCUCAUGGCGGUGUGUGGAAAGUUUUUCGGUCGGGGAUGGGCUCGCGGCCUAUCAGCUUGUUGGUGGGGUAACGGCCUACCAAGGCGAUUACGGGUAGCCGGCCUGAGAGGGCGACCGGCCACACUGGGACUGAGACACGGCCCAGACUCCUGCGGGAGGCAGCAGUGGGGAAUAUUGCGCAAUGGGCGAAAGCCUGACGCAGCGACGCCGCGUGGGGGAUGACGGCCUUCGGGUUGUAAACCUCUUUUACCACCAACGCAGGCUCCCAGUUCUCUGGGGGUUGACGGUAGGUGGGGAAUAAGGACCGGCUAACUACGUGCCAGCAGCCGCGGUAAUACGUAGGGUCCGAGCGUUGUCCGGAAUUAUUGGGCGUAAAGAGCUCGUAGGCGGCGUGUCGCGUCUGCUGUGAAAGACCGGGGCUUAACUCCGGUUCUGCAGUGGAUACGGGCAUGCUAGAGGUAGGUAGGGGAGACUGGAAUUCCUGGUGUAGCGGUGAAAUGCGCAGAUAUCAGGAGGAACACCGGUGGCGAAGGCGGGUCUCUGGGCCUUACCUGACGCUGAGGAGCGAAAGCAUGGGGAGCGAACAGGAUUAGAUACCCUGGUAGUCCAUGCCGUAAACGUUGGGCGCUAGGUGUGGGGACUUUCCACGGUUUCCGCGCCGCAGCUAACGCAUUAAGCGCCCCGCCUGGGGAGUACGGCCGCAAGGCUAAAACUCAAAGGAAUUGACGGGGGCCCGCACAAGCGGCGGAGCAUGUUGCUUAAUUCGACGCAACGCGAAGAACCUUACCAAGGUUUGACAUCGCCCGUGG
Molecule: ribosomal RNA, 908 nt
Filed under: Nocardiopsis sp.
Lineage: Bacteria; Bacillati; Actinomycetota; Actinomycetes; Streptosporangiales; Nocardiopsidaceae
Description: bacterial SSU rRNA
Rfam family: Bacterial small subunit ribosomal RNA
Source: RNAcentral